AUCACUUCUCAGGCUUUUGGCUAAGAACAAGUGUAGUAUCUGUUCUUAUCAGUAUAAAUAAAUGAAGAAUCUGUGCUCAUGUUCAUGGACUGAAACGCUC
RNAcentral lists this small nuclear RNA (100 nucleotides) under Pongo abelii (Sumatran orangutan). It matches the Rfam family "U2 spliceosomal RNA", at positions 1 to 71 of the family's 192-position model. From Rfam's summary of the family: U2 is a small nuclear RNA (snRNA) component of the spliceosome (involved in pre-mRNA splicing). Complementary binding between U2 snRNA (in an area lying towards the 5' end but 3' to hairpin I) and the branchpoint sequence (BPS) of the intron results the bulging out of an unpaired adenosine, on the BPS, which initiates a nucleophilic attack at the intronic 5' splice site, thus starting the first of two transesterification reactions that mediate splicing. Lineage: Eukaryota; Metazoa; Chordata; Mammalia; Primates; Hominidae. The record is from RNAcentral.